CUCAUUAAAUCAGUUAUAGUUUAUUUGAUGGUCUCUUUUGUCUUUUUUUACCUACUUGGAUAACCGUGGUAAUUCUAGAGCUAAUACAUGCGCAAGGUCUCGAGCGCGGGGGGCGAGGGCUUCACGGCCCUGUCCUCGCAUGCGCAGAGGGAUGUAUUUAUUAGGUUAAAACCAGCGGCGGGGGUCGAGCAAUGGCCCCUGCCAAACACUCCUGGUGAUUCAUAGUAACUCUUUCGGAUCGCAUUCAUG
RNAcentral lists this ribosomal RNA (249 nucleotides) under uncultured Acanthamoeba. Its description in RNAcentral is "partial 18S ribosomal RNA". It matches the Rfam family "Eukaryotic small subunit ribosomal RNA", at positions 97 to 279 of the family's 1831-position model. The record is from RNAcentral. Lineage: Eukaryota; Discosea; Longamoebia; Acanthamoebidae.